Molecule: transfer RNA, 85 nt
Filed under: Felis catus (domestic cat)
Lineage: Eukaryota; Metazoa; Chordata; Mammalia; Carnivora; Felidae
Rfam family: tRNA
About the family: Transfer RNA (tRNA) molecules are approximately 80 nucleotides in length. Their secondary structure includes four short double-helical elements and three loops (D, anti-codon, and T loops).
Source: Rfam by way of RNAcentral
GCCUGGGUGGCUCAGUUGGUUAAGCUUCUGACUUCAGCUCAGGUCAUGAUCUCACUGUUUGUGGGUUCAAGCCCCGCAUCAGGUU